CCCCCUACUCAGUAGGCAUUGGAGCGGUGAGUUUGCAUUUCCAAGGCACAAGGUUAUCCUAAAUACUAGAGUUGCCGGGCUCCCAGCUCAGCCCCAAGAAUUCUCCCCUCCUCGCAGGGAGAAGCCACCGCCUGGCCCCCUCAUCUUAGACGCACCAAGUCCGGCGCAGAGGAAGGGAGGGGACACGCGGAGCAGGCCAGGCUUUCAGGAGGCACCGGAAUCUCCUAGUCCUGGCUCGCACGGCUCGGGCAAGCCUCGAGAUCCGGCGACCCCAAACCACUCCCUGGGUCCCCGCCGGAGGCUGGCCCAGGGCGGUCCCACAGCCGCGCGCCUCACGCGCAGUUGCCCAUGGCCUUGACCAAGGAGCUCUCUGGCAGCUGGCGGAAGAUGCCCCGCAGCGUGUCCAGUUCGCGGCUCAGCUGUUCCACCCGCUUGCGCAGGCGGUCAUUGUCACUGGUCAGCUCCAGCACCUUCUGCUGCGUCUCCACGUUGCGCUGCUUGGCCUUGUCGCGGCUCUUGCGCACCGCGAUGUUGUUGCGCUCGCGCCGCACCCGGUACUCGUUGCUGUUCUUGUCCACCGACUUCUUGGCCUUGCCCGCGCCGCUGCCGCCACUCGCGCGGAGGUCGGGGUGCGCGGCGCCCAGCCCCUUGAGCGCGCUGCCAGGGCCCGGCAGGCCGGCGGCACCGAGCGCGGGCGCGGGGUGCGGGCUGGGCACGGGCGUGGGCGGCGGCGUGGGGUGACCGGGCUGCAGGUGCAUGGUGGUCUGGCCGCAGUGCGCGAUCUGGAACUGCAGGUGCGGGGCGGCCAGGUGCGCGGGCGGCGGGUGCGGGUGCGGGUGCGAGGGCGCUGAUGUCGAUGGACGUCUCGUGCUCGCAGAUGCCGCCCAGCGGCUCCGGGGCGGCAGGUGGGGCGGGAGGCUGCGCGGGGCCCGCGCCCCGGGGAAAGCCGAAGGCGGCGCUGCUGGGCGCGUGCGGGGGGCUCUGCAGGUGGCUGCUCAUCGGGGGCCGCGGCUCCGCCUCGUAGAAGUCGGCCGACUCCAUGGGGGAGUUAGAGUUCUCCCGGCAUGGCGAGCCUCGGCGGCCUCCAGCCUGCGCGGGGCGUCGCCGCCGCCCACCCGGAGACCCUGCUCGCCCGCGCCCGCGCACCUCCG
RNAcentral lists this long non-coding RNA (1151 nucleotides) under Homo sapiens (human). RNAcentral describes it as "long non-coding RNA NONHSAT179658.1". Lineage: Eukaryota; Metazoa; Chordata; Mammalia; Primates; Hominidae. The record is from RNAcentral.